UGGGGAAUAUUGCGCAAUGGGGGAAACCCUGACGCAGCAACGCCGCGUGAUUGAAGAAGGUCUUCGGAUUGUAAAAAUCUUUUAUCAAGGACGAAGAAGUGACGGUACUUGAUGAAUAAGCUCCGGCUAACUACGUGCCAGCAGCCGCGGUAAUACGUAGGGGGCGAGCGUUGUCCGGAAUUACUGGGCGUAAAGGGAGCGUAGGCGGUCGAUUAAGUUAGAUGUGAAACCCCCGGGCUUAACUUGGGGACUGCAUCUAAUACUGGUUGACUUAGAGUACAGGAGAGGGAAGCGGAAUUCCUAGUGUAGCGGUGAAAUGCGUAGAUAUUAGGAGGAACACCAGUGGCGAAGGCGGCUUUCUGGACUGACACUGACGCUGAGGCUCGAAAGCGUGGGGAGCAAACAGGAUUAGAUACCCUGGUAGU
This 425-nucleotide ribosomal RNA is filed under the name uncultured Gracilibacter sp. Its description in RNAcentral is "bacterial SSU rRNA". It matches the Rfam family "Bacterial small subunit ribosomal RNA", at positions 355 to 794 of the family's 1533-position model. Lineage: Bacteria; Bacillati; Bacillota; Clostridia; Eubacteriales; Gracilibacteraceae. The record is from RNAcentral.